GACGAACCGUGCGAACGUUAUUCGGAAUCACUGGGCUUAAAGGGCGCGUAGGCGGGCCGGCCAGUCUGGGGUGAAAUCCUCCCGCUCAACGGGAGAACAGCCUCGGAUACUGCCGGUCUUGAGGAAGAUAGGGGUGUGUGGAACGGGUGGUGGAGCGGUGAAAUGCGUUGAUAUCAUCCGGAACUCCGGUGGCGAAGGCGACACACUGGAUCUUUUCUGACGCUGAGGCGCGAAAGCUAGGGGAGCAAACGGG
Molecule: ribosomal RNA, 253 nt
Filed under: uncultured bacterium
Lineage: Bacteria
Description: partial 16S ribosomal RNA
Rfam family: Bacterial small subunit ribosomal RNA
Source: RNAcentral